Molecule: long non-coding RNA, 425 nt
Filed under: Citrus x clementina
Lineage: Eukaryota; Viridiplantae; Streptophyta; Magnoliopsida; Sapindales; Rutaceae
Description: Citrus clementina (C. clementina) long non-coding RNA (CCLE_LNC004782)
Source: RNAcentral
UCGCCCGCCGGACUCGGAAUGCCGCGAGACUUUUUGAGGGGACUCCGUGUGCCAAAAAUAGGCCGCGGGCAAAUCCGCGCCCAAAAAUAACCGCCCGAAGGCCGGGGCGCCAAGUUCGUCCUGCGGAAAACGGCCACAAAAACGGGUGGGCUAUAGCCUUGGGGGGUGGGGCUGGCCAACUUCGUCCGCCGGACUCGGAAUGCCGCGAGACUUUGCAAGGGGCCUCCGUGUCCCAAAAAUAGGCCGCGGGCAAAGCCGCGCCCAAAAUUAACUGCCCGAAGACCGGGGCGCCAAGUUCGUCCAGCGGAAAAAGGCCACAAAAACGGGUGGGCUAUAGCCUUGGGGGGUGGGGCUGGCCAACUUCGUCCGCCGGACUCGGAAUGCCGCGAGACUUUGUGAGGGGCCUCCGUGAGCCAAAAAUAGGC